This is a non-coding RNA of Anguilla anguilla (European eel), 760 nucleotides long. The record is from the annotation of a RefSeq genome assembly. Lineage: Eukaryota; Metazoa; Chordata; Actinopteri; Anguilliformes; Anguillidae.
CAGAGAAAUCAACAUGAUCAGGCCAAUCAGUGUCUUUAUCAUAAUACUGUACAGCCUCACAGGGCUGGCGCUCAGUAAUAAAGUUAAUCAGUCUCCUGCUGAACUGAUGAGAGACUCUGGAGGAUCCAUGCAGCUCAACUGCAGUCAUGCCAUCUCAUCAUACAACAACAUACUGUGGUACCAUCGGGCAGCAGGGGACAGCGCCCUGACUCUGAUGGGAUAUGUAUAUUCAAAGGUUCCGACCGUAGAAACCUUAUAUAAGGAUCACUGCAGUUUGAGUGGAGAUGGAACUGAGGCAGCAUCUCUUCACAUCCCCAAAGUGAACUCCACCGACAGUGGAGUGUAUUUCUGUGCAGACUCUCAUUCGGUAACAGCGUGCAGCAGUCUCCCUCCACCCUGCUGAGAGACCCUGGAGAGUCUGUGCAACUCAACUGCAGCCACAACAUACAGAGCUAUGACACAAUACUGUGGUACCAGCAACCCCAGCAGGGAAAUGGGAUGAAGCUCCUUGGACGGGUCACUUAUAAGAAUGUAGAGAUGUAGGGUGAAAAAAGAUUCAACGUGAGUGGAGAUGGUAAACGGCAGGCGUUCCUUCACAUCGACAGGCUGGCAUUAACAGACAGUGCCGUGUAUCUGUGCGCUGCGUGGAUAUCACAGUGAUACAGGUCUCCUCUUACCCCUACAUAAACCACUUCCCCAUCCGCACUCUUCUCAGAACCAUUCAUCAUAACUGCAAGUUUUUCAUUUACAUUUUGAGCAA